GGCCAAGCUACCCUGCAGACACGGACAACCUCGGGAAACUGAGGCUAAUCCGCGAUAUCGAUCCCAUGCUGGAACAGCCGGGAUCAUCAAACGCUCCGGCGCUGCAGGAUGCGGCUGCGGCCGAUUAGGUAGACGGUGGGGUAACGGCCCACCGUGCCGAUAAUCGGUACGGGUUGUGAGAGCAAGAGCCCGGAGACGGAAUCUGAGACAGGAUUCCGGGCCCUACGGGGCGCAGCAGGCGCGAAACCUUUACACUGCACGCAAGUGCGAUAAGGGGACUCCGAGUGCGAGGGCAUAUAGUCCUCGCUUUUGAGAACCGUAAGGCGGUUCUCGAAUAAGAGCUGGGCAAGACCGGUGCCAGCCGCCGCGGUAAUACCGGCAGCUCAAGUGAUGGCCAAUCUUAUUGGGCCUAAAGCGUCCGUAGCUGGCCGUGAAAGUUCGUCGGGAAAUCCAUCCGCUCAACGGAUGGGCGUCCGGCGAAAACUUCACGGCUUGGGACCGGAAGGCUCGAGGGGUACGUCCGGGGUAGGAGUGAAAUCCUGUAAUCCUGGACGGACCGCCGAUGGCGAAAGCACCUCGAGAAGACGGAUCCGACAGUAAGGGACGAAAGCUAGGGUCUCGAACCGGAUUAGAUACCCGGGUAGUCCUAGCCGUAAACAAUGUUCACUAGGUGUGGCACAGGCUACGAGCCUGUGCUGUGCCGUAGGGAAGCCGAGAAGUGAACCGCCUGGGAAGUACGUCCGCAAGGAUGAAACUUAA
Molecule: ribosomal RNA, 759 nt
Filed under: haloarchaeon enrichment culture clone B13-A-102
Lineage: Archaea; Methanobacteriati; Methanobacteriota; Halobacteria; Halobacteriales
Description: bacterial SSU rRNA
Rfam family: Archaeal small subunit ribosomal RNA
Source: RNAcentral